AGGGAGCAAGCGUUGUUCGGAUUUACUGGGCGUAAAGGGCGCGUAGGCGGCGCGGUAAGUCAGUUGUGAAAUCUCUGAGCUUAACUCAGAACGGCCAAGUGAUACUGCAGUGCUAGAGUGCAGAAAGGGCAAUCGGAAUUCUUGGUGUAGCGGUGAAAUGCGUAGAUAUCAAGAGGAACACCUGAGGCGAAGGCGGGUUGCUAGGCUGACACUGACGCUGAAGCGCGAAAGCCAGGGGAGCAAACGGG
Molecule: ribosomal RNA, 248 nt
Filed under: uncultured bacterium
Lineage: Bacteria
Description: partial 16S ribosomal RNA
Rfam family: Bacterial small subunit ribosomal RNA
Source: RNAcentral